AAAUUAAUGACUCUCGGCAACGGAUAUCUCGGCUCUCGCAUCGAUGAAGAACGUAGCGAAAUGCGAUACUUGGUGUGAAUUGCAGAAUCCCGUGAACCAUCGAGUCUUUGAACGCAAGUUGCGCCUGAAGCCGUUAGGCUGAGGGCACGUUUGCCUGGGCGUCGUAU
This 167-nucleotide ribosomal RNA is filed under the name Nymphoides crenata. RNAcentral's name for it is "5.8S ribosomal RNA". It matches the Rfam family "5.8S ribosomal RNA". From Rfam's summary of the family: 5.8S ribosomal RNA (5.8S rRNA) is a component of the large subunit of the eukaryotic ribosome. It is transcribed by RNA polymerase I as part of the 45S precursor that also contains 18S and 28S rRNA. The record is from RNAcentral. Lineage: Eukaryota; Viridiplantae; Streptophyta; Magnoliopsida; Asterales; Menyanthaceae.